GCACCAGUAGCUUAACGUCUAAAGCGCCGACCUUGUAAGCCGGAUAUUGAAGGUUAAAAUCCCUCCUGUUGCU
RNAcentral lists this transfer RNA (73 nucleotides) under Telmatherina celebensis (Celebes rainbow). RNAcentral describes it as "tRNA-Thr". It matches the Rfam family "tRNA". From Rfam's summary of the family: Transfer RNA (tRNA) molecules are approximately 80 nucleotides in length. Their secondary structure includes four short double-helical elements and three loops (D, anti-codon, and T loops). Lineage: Eukaryota; Metazoa; Chordata; Actinopteri; Atheriniformes; Telmatherinidae. The record is from RNAcentral.